This 30-nucleotide small nuclear RNA is filed under the name Arabidopsis thaliana (thale cress). RNAcentral's name for it is "snRNA_07515". Lineage: Eukaryota; Viridiplantae; Streptophyta; Magnoliopsida; Brassicales; Brassicaceae. The record is from RNAcentral.
CGGCUCUCUCGGGAGCUUUCCCCGGGCGUC